Molecule: long non-coding RNA, 1045 nt
Filed under: Homo sapiens (human)
Lineage: Eukaryota; Metazoa; Chordata; Mammalia; Primates; Hominidae
Description: non-protein coding lnc-CPE-3:1
Source: RNAcentral
UCCACCUGUUCUGUGAAGACAAGGGGCAGCUCAUCUGCUGGCACUGUGAGCGGGCACCGCAGCACAAAGGGCACACCACAGCUCUUGUUGAAGACGUAUGCCAGGGCUACAAGGAAAAGCUCCAGAAAGCUGUGACAAAAUUGAGGCAACUUGAAGAGGAGUGCACAGAGCAGAAGGUGUUCACAGCAAUGCACAUAACUAAAUGAGAAGACACAAAUUCAGAGACAAAAAAAUCGUUUGACUUUAAGAAUCUCCAGAGUUUCCUACAUGAGGAGAAGAAGUCUUAUCCCUGGAGACAGGAGAAGGAAGAACGAUAGACUCUGAAUAGACUGAGGGACCAUGGGACCAGUCUGGGGCUGAAUUCAAGAGCCACAUGCUGGAACUGGAGGAAAAAUGUCGGGGCUCAGCCCAAAAAUUGCUGCAGAAUGUGAAUGAUACUGUGGGCAGGAGUUGGACUGUGAAGCUGGAAACAUCAGAGGCCUUCUCCUUAGAGCUUCAUACUAUGUGCAACAUUUUUGAGCUUUAUUGACUCUGGAUCCAGAUACAGCUCAUAGUGAACUAAUUCUGUAUGAGGAUUGGAGAAAAGUGACUUGUGGAUAUCCCCAGGACCAUCACAGCACUUCUUCCAGGAGAUUUAGUGCCUUCCCCUGUGUCCUGGGUUGUGAGGGCUUCACCUCUCAGGAAGAUGCUCCUUCAAAAUGGAUGCUGGAAAACGAACCAGGUGGGAUUUAGGAGUUUGUAUGGCAAUAUGCAGAGGUGCACUGACAUGAAGCAAGAGCCUCAGUCUGGAUUCUGGAACCUCGGACUAUGCCAAAAGAAAGGCUAUGUAGCCCUUACAUCUCCCUUAACUUCCCUUCAUAUGUGUGAGCAGCCCUUGGUUGUGGGAGUGUUUCUGGACUCUGAGGCUGGAGUUGUAUCCUUUUACAACAUGAGUACUGGCUACCACAUCUUCACCUUCCCAAAGGCUUCCUUCUCUGAUACUAUCCGGCCCUAUUUCCAGGUUUAUCAAUAUUCUCCUUUGUUCCUGCCUCCCCCAGAUGGUUAA